Molecule: long non-coding RNA, 786 nt
Filed under: Rattus norvegicus (Norway rat)
Lineage: Eukaryota; Metazoa; Chordata; Mammalia; Rodentia; Muridae
Description: long non-coding RNA NONRATT002926
Source: RNAcentral
CAAGUAUUAAUCACCCGCUCCACAUUUUCUGUCACUGAUUCCUGCUUCAUUUUUUCUAUCUCUUAGUUCUUGUUACCUCCCAGCACACCAUGUAUUCUGUUUAUUUUAUGGUCACUGCUUGUCCUCAGUCCCUAAAUCACUGCCUGUUUAUGUAAGAUCUUAUGUACAGUUGGCAAAUAAAUGAUUCAUUUUACUUGCUAUAGAGUUAACAGUGGUUUCCACUGUUAACAAAAAAAGUUGCUAGGUAAAUCAGAACUGACUGAACAAACAUUUUUGAUAGGACCAUCACAGAGCUGCAGGAGCAGCUGGCCUAUGAGCGACUCCGCAGGGAGAAGUUAGAGUGUCAACUGGAUGAGUACCGAGUGGAAGUGAAUCAACUCAAGGAAGCGCUGGAGAAAAUCCAGGUCCCCAGUGCUGAGGCUAUGGAAGAUGACUCCUGUGAAUAUAGCAAAGAGAAGAGGCGAAUGAAAAAAAAAAACUCUCCUGGGGGCAUGUUUGUGAGAAGGUUCUAAUCAGUGCAGUAAGGUUAAAUAAAGCCUUGAUUUUCCUUCACUUUAGAGGUAUGUGAAUAGAUAGAAAUCCUUCAGUUCUGAAGGUGAAAAUGUUAUACAUCAAACAGACUUAAAAAUUCCAUGGACUUAGGAUAUUUUUUAUAUGCAUAUAUAUGCAAGCCAACAUCUAUGAGAAAUAAUUUUGCAAGUAUUCAUAUAAACUGUGAACUAUGAGAUGGUAUAAUCUAAUAGUCAAAGGAAAUCCAAUUCUAGAUAAUAAAAUUAUUAAAAUGAU